RNAcentral lists this ribosomal RNA (1170 nucleotides) under metagenome. RNAcentral describes it as "SSU rRNA". It matches the Rfam family "Eukaryotic small subunit ribosomal RNA", at positions 558 to 1762 of the family's 1831-position model. The record is from RNAcentral.
AGUCUGGUGCCAGCAGCCGCGGUAAUUCCAGCUCUCAAAAUGCAUAGAAUCAUUGCUGCGGUUAAAAAGCUCGUAGUUGGAUCUGUGCUGGCGGGUCGGUCCACCUUCGGGUGCGCACUGAUUUCGCCGGCUUUCCUGCUGUAUUUGGCCCUGUGCCUUUCAACGGGUGCAGUGUCCAGUGCAGCAAGUUUACCUUGAACAAAUCAGAGUGCUUCAAACAGGCGUUUCGCUUGAAUGUUCGUGCAUGGAAUAAUAGAAGAGGAUUUCGGUUCUAUUUUAUUGGUUUUAUAGACUGAGAUAAUGGUUAACAGAGACUAACGGGGGCAUUAGUAUUGCUACGUGAGAGGUGAAAUUCUUGGACCGUAGCAAGACUGACUACAGCGAAAGCAUUUGCCAAGAAAGUCUUCAUUAAUCAAGAACGAAAGUCAGAGGUUCGAAGGCGAUCAGAUACCGCCCUAGUUCUGACCGUAAACGAUGCCAACUAGUGAUCCGCCGGUGGAACAUUCGCCCUGGUGGGGAACUUCCCGGAAACGAAAGUCUUCCGGUUCCGGGGGAAGUAUGGUUGCAAAGCUGAAACUUAAAGGAAUUGACGGAAGGGCACCACCAGGAGUGGAGCCUGCGGCUUAAUUUGACUCAACACGGGAAAACUCACCCGGCCCGGACACCGUAAGGAUUGACAGAUUGAUAGCUCUUUCAUGAUUCGGUGGAUGGUGGUGCAUGGCCGUUCUUAGUUCGUGGAGCGAUUUGUCUGGUUUAUUCCGAUAACGAGCGAGACUCUGGCCUACUAAAUAGUUUACACAUUGCUUCUGUGUGCAUAACUUCUUAGAGGGAUUUUCGGUGUUCAGCCGCAAGAAAUUGAGCAAUAACAGGUCUGUGAUGCCCUUAGAUGUCCGGGGCUGCACGCGCGCUACACUGGCAAAAUCAGCGUGCUUGUCCUUCCCCGAAAGGGGUUGGUAAACUCGUGAAAAUUUGCCGUGAUUGGGAUCGGAAAUUGCAAUUAUUUUCCGUGAACGAGGAAUUCCAAGUAAGUGCGAGUCAUCAACUCGCGUUGAUUACGUCCCUGCCCUUUGUACACACCGCCCGUCGCUGCCCGGGACUGAGCCGUUUCGAGAAACUUGGAGACCGCUGAUCUGGUAACUUCGAUUGCCAUUUUGGUGGGAACCAAUUUAA